AACCUUUAUACUCGGUCUCGCGAAUGCACCNAGCAUGGAUUUUAAAUGAUCCUGGCUCUAGUAGAUGACCCGCUGGGUCGGUAAUAGUGCCUAACACAUGCAAUGUCUGACACUGGCAAGCACAAGGAAGACGCUUGCUCUCUGGGUGUUGUGCUGAUGUUGGGCUGUGACGGUGUGACGUGAAUACAAUCUGUGACAUCAUACUUUUUUCUC
Molecule: ribosomal RNA, 213 nt
Filed under: uncultured bacterium
Lineage: Bacteria
Description: partial 16S ribosomal RNA
Source: RNAcentral